CCUACGGGAGGCAGCAGUGGGGAAUAUUGCACAAUGGGCGAAAGCCUGAUGCAGCAACGCCGCGUGAGUGACGAAGGCCUUCGGGUUGUAAAGCUCUGUCUUCUGGGACGAUAAUGACGGUACCAGAGGAGGAAGCCACGGCUAACUACGUGCCAGCAGCCGCGGUAAU
Molecule: ribosomal RNA, 169 nt
Filed under: uncultured Clostridium sp.
Lineage: Bacteria; Bacillati; Bacillota; Clostridia; Eubacteriales; Clostridiaceae
Also listed under: 1 other name
Description: partial 16S ribosomal RNA
Rfam family: Bacterial small subunit ribosomal RNA
Source: RNAcentral